CACACACAGAGAGAGAGACAAAAAAAAAAAACACCACCCAACCGUACUAGGCCUGAACCAGAGAGACAAAUGGAGAGCAGGUUACGGGGCUACGCCAUGAUUGCGAUUGCUCAGCACUUCCAGUAAAUGUAUGCACAGACAGCUGCCAUUAGACGGCUGCUGAUACUUCAACCGGCGGGCACCUUCUAAGUGUUGAUGAGGUGGCCGCUUACCGCACUCUGAGCUCGGGUACUUGGAAUGCAUAAUUCUCGGUCGCCGCACUUUUAAAAUGACAUGAGGAUCGGAGGGCGACCUUUCCAUGGCUCAGCUUUAAAAAGCCAUGAUAUCAUCUCUGAAUAUUUAAUGGCUUUCCACGUAGCCUCAGAGAAAAAGGAAAGGAAAAGGAACACGAGGGGGGGGGGGGCUGAGGUCCCGAAAGGAAGCAUGUCUGUGAGUAAAACUAAAGAUGUCACUUUUUAGCCUCUGUCGUAGCAUUUUCUUUUCUCUGCAGUCUCUCCAGAUCGGUGCACAGAGAGCGCUGGAGCCGAAAGAUCCUUGUAGGCCCCAGCAAAGCCACUGAGCUCGGCCAUAAUUUAUGGAGCAAAAGGCCCUCGGUGCUCUGCGCCUACAAUAUUUAUCGACUCAGAGAGUGGUGUUUCGCUGACCUGCCAUCCGAUAGGCAAAGAGAGGGCAAAACUUCAUUUUACUGCUUUAUGUCAUUUUUUUUAUUAUUUUUUUUAUUUUUCACAGAGUACAACUUUUCUUUUGUCAACAGGUCGGACAGAGCUUGAAGCACAUUUCUCCUGUGCUGUUUUAAAGGCGUUUUUCAGCGUCACAGAUGCUGACCUAUAAGAUCAAAAAAGAUAAAUGUCUGCUGGAACUGAGUCUUAGCUGCUAAGCACUGUUGGGAAAGCUUCUUUUGAAAGCAUAGCGAAGCUUUUCAAGCUACCAACUACCUCACUCUGGAGGGUGUUGAACUACAGCAAAGCAACCCUAGGAGGAAACCUAAGUUGGUUAACUAUAUCUAUUUAGAAAAAGUAGUUUCAACUGAAGAUCAAUUUGAGCAUGUACAUGUGAUAGGAAAUAAUCAAUCGAGU
This is a long non-coding RNA of Clupea harengus (Atlantic herring), 1076 nucleotides long. NCBI's taxonomy places the organism in Eukaryota, Metazoa, Chordata, Actinopteri, Clupeiformes, Clupeidae. The record is from Ensembl.